UCGCCUUGCCCGGAUAACGUUUUGAGGGCGUACGAAAACCUUUUCGCUGGAUGCGUGCAGUCAUCGUUGAUGCGGUAGCCAUGGUCAUGCGCAUGCCUACAAAAACAAAAAAUCAAAUAGAAGACUUUAUCAGACGUGACUGAAGGUCCAGGGCCAACAAAGAAUUGAAAAUCGUUGAAAGUAAGGGAUUGAAGAGAAGUGAAAAAUAUGUAUAAACAGACAACAUUUAAAGCGUUGAUAAAAAACCAGACGGCGUUGUCCCGAAUGAUUGGGCAAGGCAUGUCGGCUGCUAUGUUAAACCGAUCACCGUUGUGUGUACGAAUCCACAUUCUCAGAGGAGAAAUGUAAUAUUAAAAUGUUGGAGAAGUUGCCUAUCAAUAACGGUCUGCCCCUUAACAGGUAGUGGUGGCAAAGCAUAUUUCACGGAAAACCUACAAACAUAAAACGGGGAAGCAAGCAGAUCCAUCAACAUUUCAAGAAGAAAUGAUGCAGACCGUGCAGCAACUUCUUUUUCAUUGUACUUUGGGUCACGUGAUUUUUUGUAUACUAAUUUUUGUACAGAAAAAUUACAAAAAAUUUUUUUAUAAAGUUUAAGUACUAAUAAACAAUGUAUAACAUUUUUUUAUAUUUAUUUCUAUUGUUCAUCCUUCGAAAAACAGUUUUUCUUUUAGCGCAUUUUUGGCGCUGCUGAGCGUAUGUAACCUCUUAAGUAAAAUUUUCUUCAUUACACUUUUUCAAAUGUAAGAACAUUUAAUUUCGAGAUUCAACUCGGGGUCCCGAAAAUAGAAGCAGUUGCCGUAAUAGGUAUUUAUAUGUAUACGUUUGUUUUUUUGUAUGUUUCCUUUUUUACGCUUACAACUCCGAUAAUUUGGCUGUAGUCAAAAGCGGCACAGAUAGCGAAUU
This is a long non-coding RNA of Anastrepha ludens (Mexican fruit fly), 903 nucleotides long. RefSeq lists it as uncharacterized. Lineage: Eukaryota; Metazoa; Arthropoda; Insecta; Diptera; Tephritidae. The record is from RefSeq and is a predicted model, not a curated record. The transcript has 4 exons.